RNAcentral lists this ribosomal RNA (400 nucleotides) under uncultured bacterium. RNAcentral's name for it is "partial 16S ribosomal RNA". It matches the Rfam family "Bacterial small subunit ribosomal RNA", at positions 338 to 735 of the family's 1533-position model. The record is from RNAcentral.
CCUACGGGAGGCAGCAGUGAGGAAUAUUGGUCAAUGGACGCAAGCCUGAACCAGCCAAGUAGCGUGAAGGAAGACUGCCCUACGAGUUGUAAACUUCUUUUGUACAAGGGUAAAGUUGAGCACGUGUGCUUUUUUGAAAGUACUUUAUGAAUAAGGAUCGGCUAACUCCGUGCCAGCAGCCGCGGUAAUACGGAGGAUCCGCGCGUUAUCCGGAUUUAUUGGGUUUAAAGGGAGCGUAGAUGGGUUGUUAAGUUAGUUGUGAAAUUUUGAGGCUCAACCGGAAAAUUGCAUUUUAUACUGGUAGUCUUGAGUAUAGUUGCGGUAGGCGGAAUGUGUGGUGUAGCGGUGAAAUGCUUAGAUAUCACGCAGAACUCCGAUUGCGAAGGCAGCUUACUAAUCU